CCAAGACUAAAGCAAAGAAGAGCAGAUCCUAGAAAAGAAAACACGGGAAACACAACCAAAAGUAGAAAAAGACUUUGACAUGAAUAAACCAUCUAGAGUUGAACAAGAGGAGGAAGAGGAAGAAUGUGCCGUGAUUGAAGAGGAAACAAAUGAUAAAGAAUUAUAAACUUUUAAGGAAAAUGAGCUAAAUGAAGAAGGCACUUAGAAUGAGGAAGAAGAAAUGAAGACUACAAAGGUUCAGG
Molecule: long non-coding RNA, 242 nt
Filed under: Lathyrus oleraceus (garden pea)
Lineage: Eukaryota; Viridiplantae; Streptophyta; Magnoliopsida; Fabales; Fabaceae
Description: Pisum sativum (pea) long non-coding RNA (PSAT_LNC036720)
Source: RNAcentral